ACUAAAUUCUCACCUAAAGUUGAUACUAAUAUUACAAUAACUCUCUUGUGCCCUAUUUUGGUGUUUUAAACUUCUUUGCUGUACAUUUAAGAAAAUCAGAAUUUCAGUAGACUCCUCGUGCAGUCUGAGGAGGCAGUUUCCUAUCUGGUUUGACUUAAGGGGCUGCAGAAGACAUUCUUAUCCCACAUAUUUCUUCUGCUGAUCAGUCAGCAACUGAAAUUCCAACUAAUGGAUUCCAUUCUUCCAGUUAAGACAUCAUCUCCAGAAAACUGUGCUAGUUGGCAUCCAGCAGUGCCCAAGUAUUAUUUAACCCACUAGAACCUGUGACUGCAUCAGCUUUAUAUCCUGGACCUCAGCCUGGAACAAAGGAGAGCUACACUUGGAUACUAAACACAAGUGGUCUGGAUAGAUUAUGCUGGGAAAAGAAGCCUGGAGCAGGCAGUACAGUGGGAGAACAAGGAGAGAAUGGAGUUGCAGCAGACUGCUCAGGAAUUGUACAUCACCAGUAGCUUCUGUCUCAGCUAAGUGUGGGAGACUGAUACUGAUGAGCCAUUAACAAUGGUGGAGAUUCUGAAUCACUGAAGCACUUGAUAAAAGAAAUGUCGUGGGUGAUGUGAAAAUCUACAUAUGCCCAUGAGAGUAUAUUGAGUUUACAGAAGUGCUUGCCUUGGUGAUCCAAAAAAGGCAGGAUCCGGCCGGGGGCAAGGUGAUUAUUCUGUCUGAUGAGGAGAAUAAGAGCCAGUUUGUGGUAUUGACAGAAGAAUGAAAGUAAAGUCUUGAAAGAUGGGAAGAUCAGGAGCAGUCUGGAGUCAUGGUAUAUGAAUGAACUAGUGAGAGUGGGCACAAAGUCUGAAGAUCUUUGUAGUGCAGCUAAUGUCUAAGGGAGAAUAUACCUACCCUAGAAGAGACAUUAAACAACCAGGUUGUCUCUUCAUUCUGUUGAUUGUUUCCUUUGUUGUAAAAGAAACUCACUUUACAGGAAAAGAGGUGCAACAGUGGCUGGAUGAUUAUAAGAUCGACUGUUCCUAUUAAAAACUACACCAUCCAAAAGAGGCUGCCAUUGAAGAGCAAUAAAGUAGUUCAUAGAAGGCAUAGUUCAACCAAUCUACAAAGGCCAAAAAUAUUUUCACAGGCCCCCAAAAGAUGAACUCCAAUCUGCUGCCCCUAAACGCAUUCUCCACUGUCUGGAAGAUGUGCAAAGGCAACGGCACAGCGUUCUCCAUCUCAAAUCCUUCAAAGUGCUGUCAGAAUAAAAGAAUCCCCACCAAAAGCCCCAGGGAAAUCUAUCUGUCUGUAUGGUAUGGUAAUGACUGAGGUUAUUCCAGAUAGGAUUCUGGGAGAAACUCAGCUAUUGAAAUCUAAUGAAUGGAACUGAGAAUUUCUUGUUAUAAUACUGUUUGUUUGAUUGAAUAUAUCCUUGCAUAUAGGAAGACAUAAAAAUAAAUAAUAAAAGCAAGAUAUUAUUUGAA
Molecule: long non-coding RNA, 1469 nt
Filed under: Homo sapiens (human)
Lineage: Eukaryota; Metazoa; Chordata; Mammalia; Primates; Hominidae
Description: long independently transcribed non-coding RNA 1013, transcript variant 4 (LINC01013)
Source: RNAcentral